This is a long non-coding RNA of Ostrea edulis (European flat oyster), 583 nucleotides long. RefSeq lists it as uncharacterized. The transcript is spliced from 4 exons. Lineage: Eukaryota; Metazoa; Mollusca; Bivalvia; Ostreida; Ostreidae. The record is from RefSeq and is a predicted model, not a curated record.
AACAGGUAAACAGAUAUAUACUCGGCUAAGUUGUGGAUUUUCAGUAGUUGAUCAACGAACGGAGUAUUUAAUUCUGUGAACAUGAUUUCGCAUAUAUUACUCUGGAUUGGGCUUUUUUUACACGCUAAUUCUCAAGAUGUUGACGAGUGUUCGAAGAAUCCCUGUGCGAAUGGAGGAAAAUGCAGGAAUACAGUAACGUCCUACACGUGCGUCUGUCCUAGUGGCUGGACUGGAAACCGAUGUGAUAAAGACAUUGACGAAUGUUGGAACGAUACAUGUUUUAACGGAGGCACAUGUCUGAACACACUGUGAAGUUUUGCGUGCAGUUGCUCUUAUGAAUGGAGUGGGACACUCUGUGAACAAGAUGUCAACGAGUGUUUGACGAGUCCUUGUAGAAAUGGUGGACUCUGCAUCAAUCUGAUGGGCUCCUUUUUUGUGACUGUCCUCCAACUUGGUUUGGAGAAAUUUGUGAAAGCCAAAGCCCGUAGAACCUAGCAGCCACUGAGUAAAAUCAUCUAAGGACUGAGAGUAUUCAUAGAGAAUGUUUAAUUUGAAACCUAUUUUAAAGGAAACUUUAAAUCAA